This 258-nucleotide ribosomal RNA is filed under the name uncultured bacterium. RNAcentral's name for it is "partial small subunit ribosomal RNA". It matches the Rfam family "Bacterial small subunit ribosomal RNA", at positions 26 to 285 of the family's 1533-position model. The record is from RNAcentral.
AGGACGAACGCUGGCGGCGUGCUUAACACAUGCAAGUCGAACGGUGAAGGAGAGCUUGCUCUCCGGAUCAGUGGCGAACGGGUGAGUAACACGUGGGCAACCUGCCCCUGACACUGGGAUAACUCCGGGAAACCGGGGCUAAUACCGGAUAUUACGCGAGAUGGCAUCUCCUCGCGUGGAAAGUUUUUUCGGCAGGGAUGGGCCCGCGGCCUAUCAGCUUGUUGGUGAGGUAACGGCCCACCAAGGCGACGACGGGUA